RNAcentral lists this long non-coding RNA (525 nucleotides) under Physcomitrium patens. RNAcentral's name for it is "long non-coding RNA (PPAT_LNC007261)". Lineage: Eukaryota; Viridiplantae; Streptophyta; Bryopsida; Funariales; Funariaceae. The record is from RNAcentral.
GUUAAUUACAGAAUUAUGAUUAGAGUCUGGAGAAUCAAAAGAAAGUAUAUAAGAAUUGUAGAAGAUAAUUAAGGGCCACACUGUGAUAAUCAUGAGCCAAGGACCAUCACUGUAAUAGUUACGAGUCGGGGUAAGCUUGGUGCUACCUCUUUUCUUUUAUUUGUUAUUUUCUUUGAAUAAGAAGAUUGAGAGUUUUUGAAUAUUGUAAAGUGAAUUAUGGAAUGAAAAUGUGAUUGGUAUUAUUUGAGAAGAAGAAAGAUUGAAUGCUGAAAUCUAAUUGUAGUUCAGUAGAGAGAACGAGUCUGUAUUUGUGUGAAACACCGUAAUGUGAAUGGCAGUUUUGUGUGAAGAAUUCCAGUGAUUGAAAUGAGGGUAAUUGUGUGCUGAAAGCUGUGAAGGCGUAGUAUUACAGUUGGAGAUUAUGAGGAUGAAUAUAUUGGUGGAAAUAGCACUUAUUGGUAUGGCUGAAUUGCUGUAAGGAAGAGACCAAUAAGGUGAAGGAAGAGAUUAUAGUUUCAUUGUAUG